Molecule: ribosomal RNA, 467 nt
Filed under: uncultured Pseudomonas sp.
Lineage: Bacteria; Pseudomonadati; Pseudomonadota; Gammaproteobacteria; Pseudomonadales; Pseudomonadaceae
Description: bacterial SSU rRNA
Rfam family: Bacterial small subunit ribosomal RNA
Source: RNAcentral
GACGGGGCCCGGCACAAGCGGUGGAGCAUGUGGUUAAUCGAAGCAACGCGAAGAACCUACCAGGCCUUGACAUGCAGAGAACUUUCCAGAGAUGGAUUGGUGCCUUCGGGAACUCUGACACAGGUGCUGCAUGGCUGUCGUCAGCUCGUGUCGUGAGAUGUUGGGUUAAGUCCGUAACGAGCGCAACCCUUGUCCUUAGUUACCAGCGCGUUAUGGUGGGCACUCUAAGGAGACUGCCGGUGACAAACCGGAGGAAGGUGGGGAUGACGUCAAGCCAUCAUGGCCCUUACGGCCUGGGCUACACACGUGCUACAAUGGUCGGUACAAAGGGUUGCCAAGCCGCGAGGUGGAGCUAAUCCCAUAAAACCGAUCGUAGUCCGGAUCGCAGUCUGCAACUCGACUGCGUGAAGUCGGAAUCGCUAGUAAUCGUGAAUCAGAAUGUCACGGUGAAUACGUUCCCGGGCCUU